CAACAGUACUGCUGCUCAAUAUGGGAGGUACUGCAGUUUCAGCCGUGGUGUUGGUGCUUAGCUGAGGAGCCAAUGGUGAGAAGCUACCAUUUGUGGGAUUAUGACUGAAUGCCUCUAUGUAAGAAUCCUCCCUGAAAGG
This 139-nucleotide non-coding RNA is filed under the name Lepisosteus oculatus (spotted gar). RNAcentral describes it as "Eukaryotic large subunit ribosomal RNA". It matches the Rfam family "Eukaryotic large subunit ribosomal RNA", at positions 3014 to 3154 of the family's 3401-position model. Lineage: Eukaryota; Metazoa; Chordata; Actinopteri; Semionotiformes; Lepisosteidae. The record is from Rfam by way of RNAcentral.